This 873-nucleotide ribosomal RNA is filed under the name Murinectria vaileae. Its description in RNAcentral is "partial large subunit ribosomal RNA". It matches the Rfam family "Eukaryotic large subunit ribosomal RNA", at positions 49 to 953 of the family's 3401-position model. Lineage: Eukaryota; Fungi; Ascomycota; Sordariomycetes; Hypocreales; Nectriaceae. The record is from RNAcentral.
AGCGGAGGAAAAGAAACCAACAGGGAUUGCCCUAGUAACGGCGAGUGAAGCGGCAACAGCUCAAAUUUGAAAUCUGGCCCUUGUGGUCCGAGUUGUAAUUUGUAGAGGAUGCUUUUGGUUAGGUGCCUUCCGAGUUCCCUGGAACGGGACGCCAUAGAGGGUGAGAGCCCCGUCUGGUUGGAUACCGAGCCUCUGUAAAGCUCCUUCGACGAGUCGAGUAGUUUGGGAAUGCUGCUCUAAAUGGGAGGUAUAUGUCUUCUAAAGCUAAAUAUUGGCCAGAGACCGAUAGCGCACAAGUAGAGUGAUCGAAAGAUGAAAAGCACUUUGAAAAGAGGGUUAAAAAGUACGUGAAAUUGUUGAAAGGGAAGCGCUUGUGACCAGACUUGGGCCCGGUCAAUCAUCCAGGGUUCUCCCUGGUGCACUUGGCCGGCCCAGGCCAGCAUCAGUUUGUCGCGGGGGAUAAAGACGUUGGGAAUGUGGCUCCUCCGGGAGUGUUAUAGCCCUUCGUGUAAUACCCUGCUUCGGACUGAGGUUCGCGCAUCUGCAAGGAUGCUGGCGUAAUGGUCAUCAGCGACCCGUCUUGAAACACGGACCAAGGAGUCGUCUUCGUAUGCGAGUGUUCGGGUGUCAAACCCCUACGCGUAAUGAAAGUGAACGCAGGUGAGAGCUUCGGCGCAUCAUCGACCGAUCCUGAUGUUCUCGGAUGGAUUUGAGUAAGAGCAUACGGGGCCGGACCCGAAAGAAGGUGAACUAUGCCUGUAUAGGGUGAAGCCAGAGGAAACUCUGGUGGAGGCUCGCAGCGGUUCUGACGUGCAAAUCGAUCGUCAAAUAUGGGCAUGGGGGCGAAAGACUAAUCGAACCUUCUAGUAGCUG